RNAcentral lists this ribosomal RNA (96 nucleotides) under Acanthosepion pharaonis. Lineage: Eukaryota; Metazoa; Mollusca; Cephalopoda; Sepiida; Sepiidae. The record is from RNAcentral.
UUGAAACACCAGUUCUCGUACGAUCACUGAAGUUAAGCAACGUCAAGCCUAGUCAAUACCUAGAUGGGUGAGCGCUUGGAAAUACCAAGUGCUGUU